This is a long non-coding RNA of Danio rerio (zebrafish), 4445 nucleotides long. NCBI's taxonomy places the organism in Eukaryota, Metazoa, Chordata, Actinopteri, Cypriniformes, Danionidae. The record is from Ensembl.
CUGAUAUUGUUUCAGUUGUAAACUCAGUCAUAGAUGAUGUAUUCUGCUCCUCUGUUGUUGAAGUUACCGGAGAUGCAGAGGUACCUGUUGUGUAUAUUGUCGUUUCCAUUGUAGAAGAUUCUGAUGUUAUUGUAGUCCCAGUGGACUCUUCUGUUGUAAAGGGUGUUGAUUCUGGUAUUGUGGGGGAACUAUCAGGAUUGGUUUGUGUCUGUUGGCUUUUGGUUAGUUCUACAGUAGCUGAAGUUUCUGUUGUAAACUCAGUCAUAGAUGAUGAAUUCUGCUCUUCUGUUGUUGUAGUUACAGGAGAUGGAGAGGUACCUGUUGUGUUUAUUGUAGUUUCCAUCGUAGAAGAUUCCGAUGUGAUUGUAGUCCCAGUGGACUCUUCUGUUGUGAAGGGUGUUGAUUCUGUUAUUGUGGGGGAACUAUCAGGACUGGUUUGUGUUUGUUGGCUUGUGGUUGGUACUACAGUAGCUGAUAUUGUUUCGGUUGUAAACUCAGUCAUAAAUAAUGUUUUCUGCUCCUCUGUUGUUGAAGUUACUGGAGAUGCAGAGGUACCUGUUGUGUAUAUUGUCGUUGCCAUCGUAGAAGAUUCCGAUGUGGUUGUAGUCCCAGUGAACUCUUCUGUUGUGAAGGGUGUUGAUUCUGUUAUUGUGGGGGAACUAUCAGGACUGGUUGGUGUCUGUUGGCUUGUGGUUAGUUCUACAGUAGCUGAUAUUGUUUCUGUUGUAAACUCAGUCAUAGAUGAUGUAUUCUGCUCUUCUGUUGUUGAAGUUACCGGAGAUGGAGAGGUACCUGUUGUGUAUAUUGUCGUUUCCAUCGUAGAAGAUUCUGAUUUGAUUGUUGUCCCAGUGGAUUCUUCUGUUGUGAAGGGUGUUGAUUCUGUUAUUGUUGGGGAACUAUCAGGACUGGUUUGUGUCUGUUGGCUUGUGGUUAGUUCUACAAUAGCUGAUAUUGUUUUGGUUGUAAACUCAGUCAUAGAUAAUGUAUUCUGCUCCUCUGUUGUUGAAGUUACUGGAGAUGCAGAGCUACCUGUUGUGUAUAAUGUUUCCAUUGUAGAAGAUUCAGAUGUGGUUGUAGUCCCAGUGGACUCUUCUGUUGUGAAGGGUGUUGAUUCUGGUAUUGUGGGGGAACUAACAGGAUUGGUUUGUAUCUGUUGGCUUGUGGUUAGUUCUACAGUAGCUGAUAUUGUUUCGGUUGUAAACUCAGUCAUAGAUAAUGUAGUCUGCUCUUCUGUUUUUGAAGUUACUAGAGAUGGAGAGGUACCUGUUGUGUAUACUGUAGUUUUCAUUGUAGAAGAUUCCGAUGUGAUUGUUGUCCUAGUGGACUCUUCUGUUGUGAAGGGUGUUGAUUCUGGUAUUGUGGGGGAACUAUCAGGACUGGUUAGUUCUACAGUAGCUGAAGUUUCUGUUGUAAACUCAGUCAUAGAUGAUGUAUUCUGCUCUUCUGUUGUUGAAGUUACCGGAGAUGGAGAGGUACCUGUUGUGUAUAUUGUCGUUUCCAUUGUAGAAGAUUCUGAUGUGAUUGUAGUCCCAGUGGACUCUUCUGUUGUGAAGGGUGUUGAUUCUGUUAUUGUGGGGGAACUAUCAGAAUUGGUUUGUGUCUGUUGGCUUGUGGUUAGUUCUACAGUAGCUGAUAUUGUUUCAGUUGUAAACUCAGUCAUAGAUGAUGUAUUCUGCUCUUCUGUUGUUGAAGUUACCGGAGAUGGAGAGGUACCUGUUGUGUAUAGUGUUUCCAUUGUAGAAGAUUCAGAUGUGGUUGUAGUCUCAGUGGACUCUUCUGUUUUGAAGGGUGUUGAUUCUGGUAUUGUGGGGGAACUAUCAGGAUUGGUUUGUGUCUGUUGGCUUUUGGUUAGUUCUACAGUAGCUGAAGUUUCUGUUGUAAACUCAGUCAUAGAUGAUGAAUUCUGCUCUUCUGUUGUUGAAGUUACUGGAGAUGGAGAGGUACCUGUUGUGUAUAUUGUUGUUGCCAUCGUAGAAGAUUCCGAUGUGAUUGUUGUCCCAGUGGACUCUUCUGUUGUGAAGGGUGUUGAUUCUGGUAUUGUGGGGGAACUAUCAGGACUGGUUUGUGUCUGUUGGCUUGUGGUUAGUUCUACAGUAGCUGAUGUUGUUUCAGUUGUAAACUCAGUCAUAGAUGAUGUAUUCUGCUCUUCUGUUGUUGAAGUUACAGGAGAUGGAGAGGUACCUGUUGUGUUUAUUGUAGUUUCCAUCGUAGAAGAUUCCGAUGUGAUUGUAGUCCCAGUGGACUCUUCUGUUGUGAAGGGUGUUGAUUCUGUUAUUGUAUGGGAACUAUCAGGACUGGUUUGUGUCUGUUGGCUUGUGGCUUGUUCUACAGUAGCUGAUGUUAUUUCUGUUGUAAACUCAGUCAUAGAUGAUGUAGUCUGCUUUUCUGAUGUGGAAGUUCCUUGAGAUGUAGAGGUACCUGUUGCGUAUAGUGUAGUUUCCAGUGUUGGACCAGUUUUCUUUGUAGAUGUUUCAAAUGAGGUCACAGGGAACUCGUCUGUUGUAAGUGAUGUAGAUUCUGUUUUUGUGGUACAAAUAGUAGGGCUGUUUUUUGUCUGUUGGCUUGUGGUUUUUUCAGCAGUAGCUGAAGAUAUUUCAGUUGUAAACUCAGAACAUUGAUCUGUUGUGAAUAAAGUAGUUUUAGUCGUAGUAUACCAAAUUAUUUAUAACAUUUAAUUAUAGAGCUGUGAACAACUGCACAUUUAACAUACCAUGGAUUAAUAAUUGCAUGAGUUUUACCAAGAUAACAUCAGUCUUUGUACUAGAUUGAUGCUACUGUAUAACAGCUACUAUCAAUCAUUUUAAGUUUUAAAAUGUGCUAUUAUUUUAGAUGAUUACAAAGAUUGUUUUAUAUUGAAGACAUUGGGUACAUUAUGAACUGUACUUGUAUUACUGGAAGAUGUGAAUUGAAUUGUUCAAUCGUUCAUAUAUUACACAAUUCCACUUAAAGAAUAGCCAGUUUCUAUUGUAGUUUCAGUGUCUUUGUUUAUCUUAAGCCAUUAUCAUUUUUGGUUGUCACAUUCAUCUUUUAACUCCAACAUACAUUUUAGAUUGAUUAAAAUGUGGAGAUAAUCAUUAAAAUUCUGUAGAAACUUACCUGUGUUUGCUCCAAUGCAGAUGAAAUGCAGCAGCAGAAGUAAGGCAAUAAAGUGCAGUAUUUUCCAUAAAUACAUGUUUAGAAAGUUCCUGUAAGAUGGUUGUUUUUGUUUGAAAUGAAAAUGAUUUAGCCAAUUGCAAAUGCACCAGCCAUCAGUGUGUCUCCUCUGUUAAAUUUCAACAUCAACCAGCAACAAGAUGUGUGCAUGCUCCCUGCAAACAAUAAAUGUCAUAAGGUAUGGCCUCUUUUGCAUUAAAAACCAUGUUCACACCUUAAGUAAACCACAGUACGCUGAUUGGAAGUUUAUGUGGUUUUGAAAGGUCAGAACAGUUAUAUGACCUUGUCUUCUUGUUACACCCUUCCCAAGAAAUGAGAAAAACAUAUACUUUCACUUUUUCAUUUGUUUGUCUUUUUCAAAAUAGUAUUUGCUCUCAGUUGUGAUAUGUACAUUUAAGACAAUAAGAUCUGUUUAACCAGACAUUAGGAAAGAUUGUGUACACACAUUACAAUAAACCACCAAAGUUUUACAGUAAGUUCAGUGCCAAUUUCAGUUUCAUUCACUGCAUUUUAUUUAGAAAAUCUGUGCUUGUACUGUUAUCUAACUAAUUUUUGCUAAUUAUAAAUGAUUUAAGGUACUGAAUACAGCAUAGUUAAACAACAUACAAACAAAAAAAGCCAAUUACCUGAAAGUUAAACAUAGUUAGAUCCAAUAAAGUUGUUUCUCAACAAUAUAAUCCAGGUGAUUAGAAUCUCUGAAAGCAGUGAUUUCUUGUUUACUUAUAUUUGAAGUAUAUUUUUGUUUUGUUUUGUAGCCUAAUAGACGAUGGACUGGAAAAUCACUCUAUAAUAUUUCACUCUAUCAUGUUACAACCCUUCAGGAACUAAUAGGUUGAACAGUUAAUCCUGCAAACGUAACCGCUUGUUUGAACCAGUCAGAAUACAGGAAAUAAACUGAUAUGUUUCAGAAGUUGCUGUGUGGUUGCUAUGUUAUCUAUAGACAUUGAUGGGUCACUCCUUCAAUGUAGGUCUGUGUGUUAUCGUAUGCCAAAAGUCGUAAAUCAGCACCACUCUUCAACAAGUCAUAGGAUUUUGGGUAGCACUCAUGUCCAUCACUUGAACAAUGCAGUUCCUGAAACAUAAUACUUAAUAUUGUAAUACUUGGUAACGUUGGUUUCUUUUGUUCUUAUGACGUUCUAUAAAAAGCAGUGCUCACUUUGUUUUAAUGAAUUUCGCAUGGCAACCACAGGAAAACAAUGGCAUUAAAUAUGCUCUUGGCAUUAAAUAUGUUCUUGACCUAUGGUCACGUUCUCCACACCUGUUUGCUAUUUCAAAAUGUUUUUGAGUCAUAG